Molecule: non-coding RNA, 55 nt
Organism: Salmo salar (Atlantic salmon)
Lineage: Eukaryota; Metazoa; Chordata; Actinopteri; Salmoniformes; Salmonidae
Source: Rfam
UGAAUGCACUUACUGUAAGUUGCUUUGGAUAAAAGCGUCUGCUAAAUGACUAAAA